UAGAAAACUCAUAAAAUGGCUCCCCAUGCUACCCACUUCCUGGCAAUCACUCCCUUGAGUGUGAGCUGGACCUGGUGAGUUGUUCCUCACAAGGAAGAGAUGUCACUGCUGAUGUUUGGAUAUAAACAACAGUGACACUGAUGUCUCUCUCUCUCUCUCUCUCUCACCCCUCUCACCCCCCCACCUCCAGGGUGCUCCUCACUUGGCGGUUCUUAUGGAAGCCAUCUACCAAAUUGUGAGCUUCCUUAUGAAAUGGGCCAUGUGGCAAAGGACUGAGGAUGGUGUCUGUUCAACAGCCAGUAGGAUAUUGAGGCUCUUAGUUUAACCACCCACAAGGAAGUGAAUUCGUCAACAGCACAAGCAGAGGGAUGAGCAAUGAACCGGAAGUUGAGAAACAGUGUUCCAUGCUCAGCAGUAUCACAACUAGCUGUGCAAAUCCAAGAUAAUUUAGUGACAACUUUCAAAAACUGAAGAAAGAUACAAGACAGCUGAAUAGGGAAAAGAUGUGCUGUUUCUGACUACAGGAAGAUAGUAGAAGAAAAAGAGAGGAAUCGCAUUCCCAGAGGACAGCUGGAGAAAAGUUUGCAGUGGAAAUUCUACAAAAAGAAGAGAGACACUGUAGAGCAGUGUGGACAGUACAAUCUCACAGCAGCAAGUAGGAAACCACCAGCAAAUCCCACAGCCAGUGGCUGGACAGGAUAUUCCCUUGGAACAAGGCACCUGGCAGUCAGCAAAGAGGAAAUGCCAUCUUAAUAAGGCAAGUAGAGGUUGCUGUGGUAUGUAUGUGUGCUACUAGAGGACUCUCAGGGAGAUAAAUCUGUGUUCUCACUGACUUUGUGUCUGACCGGGAGGGUUGGCAGGGGGUAGGGCACCCACUUAGGCCCACGAAGCACUCCCUCCUCUCACUAUAUUAAGGUGCCCAGACGCAACUUGCCAAGGUGAAGCACCAACCAACCUCUAUUGGUUAGGCAACUGACUCUGGGAAUGCCACAACUCUUUCUGUGAACAGAGGAGGCUUGUGUAGGCUGAGAGUGGAUCCCUUUCUCCCUAUCACUGUGUAAGACUUGUGCCUAUGACUGUGAGAAUUCUGUGACUGCACAAUAGGGCCUGUGAUAGGGCAUGGCUAGGUCUUUCGGCAAUCACUGUAUAUGGCUCCAGAGGUUCAGGGUUCUGUGCUCACAUUGAGGAGCCCAAAGAUCCUUUUGCAGUUCAUGCACCUGCUUGAGUAAGAUGCUUAGGCACUGUGGGCUCACCCAGUGAUUGGUUCACCUUGGAAGAGAGGAGCUGACACUGUGACCCACCAGCUGAUGCCAUCAUACUCUCCCUUCUGCUGGUGGUAGAGGAGACCCUCCAUGCCCAACUUAGUUGUUGUCCUGGACCCUUAACCCACACUUAAGCACUGGCAAUAGCUCCUUGGUCCCACCCAGCAUACACCUUUGGAUAGCCACUGAAGGAGAAGACACUCCACUAAGCCACAGAGGCAUAUUUCAAAGAUAAGAACUACCAAAAGAAAAAACCAACAAGUGUUUCCAAAAGUGCCUAAAAGUAAAUGUAAAAAUAUAAGAAACAUGAACAAGGAAGACAAUAUGACUCCCCAGAAGGAACACAACAGAAUUUCAAUAUUAGAAUGUGAAGAUGAAGAUAUUAAUGAAGUGCCCAAAAAGGAAUUCAAAAGCAUGCUCAUAAGAUUGCUCAAAAACACAGAGAAGCAAACACAUUCGUUAAGGAAAUCCAUACAUGACAUGGAUGAGAAAAUUCUGGUGAGACAGACAUUGAAGAGAAAUCAAACAAAUAUUAGAAAUGAAGAAUUGGAUAUGUCAAAUAAAAAUACAGUGGAAAAUCUUAACAACACAACUGGUGAAGCAGAAGAAAGAAUAUCCAAGCUAGAAGACAAAUCUUUGGAAUUCUCUCAUUUAGAUAGGAAAAGAAGAAGGAGGACAAGGAGGAGGAGGAAGAUGAGGAGGAGGAGGAGCAGGAAGAAGAAGAAGAAGCAGGAGGAGGAGGAGGAGGAGGAAGAGUAAGAGGAGGAAGAAGAAGAAGGGGAAGGAGAUGAGGAGGAGAGGAGAAGGAGGAGGAGAAGAAGAGGAGACGAAAUAAUAAUAAUAAUUAGAAAAAUAAAAAUAGUGUUAGAGAUUUAUUAGAUACUAUCAAAUGAACAAAAAUACUCAUCUUAAGAGUUCCUGAAGGUGUGGAGGGAGAAUGGGUUAGAUGAUAUAGUCAGUGAAUAAUAGCAUAAAAUUUUUCUAAUUUGGAGAAAGAUAAGGACAUCCAAGUACAGAUAGCACAUAGAACUCUUAAUAGACAUGAUCAGAAAUUUCUCCACCAUAUCACAUUAUAGUCAGUCUUUAAAAGUAAAAUAUAAAGAAAAGAUUCUAAAAUGUGUACCAAAGAUGCACCAGAUUACCUUCAAAAUAUCUCCAAUUAGACUGACAACUGAUUUCUCAUCAGAAAUCUUACAAGCUAGAAAAGAAUGGAGACACACAGUCCAAGAGCUAAAAGAAAAAAAAAACCUGUGAGCCCAGAAUACUGCACCCAGUAAAGCUCUUAUUUGUAAGUGAAGUUGAAAUAAAUACCCUCCAGAAUUAAUACACAGUUAUUCUUAAGUGUUAAAAAUUAACUGAAAGGUGAUCCCUGUUAAACAUAAGAGUGGGAAUAAGAGAGGGAAGAGAUGUAUAAUUUGGGACAUGCUCAAGCUGACUUGCCCCAAAUGGUAGAGUUAAAAACAUACCAGGGGAUUCCAAUUCAAUCCCAUCAAGGUGGCAUGUACCAAUGCCAUCUCACUAUUCCAAGUGAUCAAUUUCAGUUCACAAAUGAUCAUAAUGAAAGGACUAAGAGUCAAAGGGAGCACAUAAACAAGUCUAGUACCUGCUAACACUAACCGAUGGAAUAAAUAAAGGGGAGAGUGAUCCAACAUGGGAAGUGAGAUACUCAGCAGACUCAUAGAAUGGCGGAUGUCCAAAAUAGCACUCUGGCCUCAGAAUCAGCCCUAAAGGCACUCGGAUCUGGCUGAAAAGCCCAUGAGAGUAUUUCAGGCAUGGAAAGCCAAGACACUCUGGCAAAAAGAUCUCAGUGAGUGAGAUCCCAGUGGAAAGAACAGGUCUUCAAAGAGGGAGGUGCCUUUCUCUGAAGGGAGGAGAGAACCUCCACUUUGACUAUGACCUUGUCUAAACAAGAUAAGAAUCAGAGAACUCAGAGGGCUUCCAUAGCCUUGGAAACUCAUGACUGGAACAUAGGGAGACUACUGAUGCCAUAGACAGGAGUGUCAAUUGGUAAAGUCAACAACAGGAGUCACUGUGCACUUACUCCUCAUGUAGGAUCUCUGUCCUUAAUGUGCUGUACACUGAGGCUUAAUGCUAUAACAGUACUCAAACAAUAUAUUUCACUUUGUGUUUCUAUGGGGGUGCAAACUGUUGAAAUCUUUACUUAAUGUACACUAAACUGAUCCUCUGUAAAAAAAAGAAAGAAAGAAAUUAUCAACUCCCAACUUGACUCUCACUGGGAUUAAACAUGACAAUAGGUCUGAUCUGAUUUCAUCAUCAUUUAAAAAAAAUCAUCUAUUAUAUUUCACUUUAUGUUUCUGUGUGAGAGCAAACUGUUGAAAUCCUUACUUAAUGUAUACUAAGCUGAUCUUCUGUAUAUUAAGAUAAUCGAAA
Oryctolagus cuniculus (rabbit) is the source of this 3653-nucleotide non-coding RNA. Lineage: Eukaryota; Metazoa; Chordata; Mammalia; Lagomorpha; Leporidae. The record is from RefSeq and is a predicted model, not a curated record.